GACGAACGCUGGCGGCGUGCCUAAUACAUGCAAGUAGAACGCUGAAGCGAGGAGCUUGCUCUUCUUGGAUGAGUUGCGAACGGGUGAGUAACGCGUAGGUAACCUGCCUUGUAGCGGGGGAUAACUAUUGGAAACGAUAGCUAAUACCGCAUAACAAUGGAUGACACAUGUCAUUUAUUUGAAAGGGGCAAUUGCUCCACUACAAGAUGGACCUGCGUUGUAUUAGCUAGUAGGUGAGGUAAUGGCUCACCUAGGCGACGAUACAUAGCCGACCUGAGAGGGUGAUCGGCCACACUGGGACUGAGACACGGCCCAGACUCCUACGGGAGGCAGCAGUAGGGAAUCUUGGGCAAUGGGGGCAACCCUGACCGAGCAACGCCGCGUGAGUGAAGAAGGUUUUCGGAUCGUAAAGCUCUGUUGUAAGUCAAGAACGGGUGUGAGAGUGGAAAGUUCACACUGUGACGGUAGCUUACCAGAAAGGGACGGCUAACUACGUG
RNAcentral lists this ribosomal RNA (497 nucleotides) under uncultured bacterium. RNAcentral describes it as "partial 16S ribosomal RNA". It matches the Rfam family "Bacterial small subunit ribosomal RNA", at positions 28 to 507 of the family's 1533-position model. The record is from RNAcentral.